This 705-nucleotide ribosomal RNA is filed under the name Paragnetina tinctipennis. RNAcentral describes it as "SSU rRNA". It matches the Rfam family "Eukaryotic small subunit ribosomal RNA", at positions 620 to 1119 of the family's 1831-position model. The record is from RNAcentral. Lineage: Eukaryota; Metazoa; Arthropoda; Insecta; Plecoptera; Perlidae. RNAcentral also lists the same sequence under 6 other names.
UAAAAAGCUCGUAGUUGGACUUGUGUCCCACGCCGUCGGUUCGUCGCCCGUCGACGUAACCGCACGGUUAUGUGAGUGGGACGUCCAGCCGGUGGGUCGUCAGGUCGCGCGCUCAGCUGGCCGCGCCCCUUGGCGGUGUUCUUUCCGUGGCCUCGCCGUGACGUGUGUCGGGUGGGCGGGCGGCGUUCGCGUCGUCCCCCCCUGGCCCGUCAUCAAAAGCGGCGUGCGUCGCGGGGCCCGCCUCGCAGGGUGUCGCUGUGUCGGCGCGCGCGGUGCCGGACCCAUGUUACUCGUCUCGGUGCUCUUAAUCGAGUGUCUUGACGGGCCGGCUCUUUUACUUUGAACAAAUUAGAGUGCUUAAAGCAGGCCAAUUGCCGCCUGAAUAUUGUGUGCAUGGAAUAAUGGAAUAGGAUCUCGGUUCUAUUUUGUUGGUUUUCUGAACCAGAGAUAAUGAUUAAUAGAGACUGACGGGGGCAUUCGUAUUGCGACGUUAGAGGUGAAAUUCUUGGAUCGUCGCAAGACGAACAGAAGCGAAAGCAUUUGCCAAGAAUGCUCUCAUUAAUCAAGAACGAAAGUUAGAGGUUCGAAGGCGAUCAGAUACCGCCCUAGUUCUAACCAUAAACGAUGCCAACUAGCGAUCCGCCGGAGUUCCUCCGAUGACCCGGCGGGCAGCUUCCGGGAAACCAAAGUGUUUGGGUUCCGGGG